Molecule: ribosomal RNA, 423 nt
Filed under: uncultured bacterium
Lineage: Bacteria
Description: partial 16S ribosomal RNA
Rfam family: Bacterial small subunit ribosomal RNA
Source: RNAcentral
AAUUUUGCACAAUGGGGGAAACCCUGAUCCAGCCAUCCCGCGUGUAUGAUGAAGGCCUUCGGGUUGUAAAGUACUUUGGGCAGAGAAGAAAAGGUAUCCCCUAAUACGGGAUACUGCUGAUGACAUCUGCAGAAUAAGCACCGGCUAACUACGUGCCAGCAACCGCGGUAAUAAGUAGGGUGCAAGCGUUAAGCGGAUUUACUGGGCGUAUAGCGUGUGUAGGCGGUUCGGAAAGAAAGAUGUGAAAUCCAAGGGCUCAUCCUUGGACUGCAUUUUUUACUGACGGGCUAGAGUAUGUCAGAGGGGGGUAGAAUUCCACGUGUAGCAGUGAAAUGCGUAGAUAUGUGGAGGAAUACCGAUGACGAAGGCAGCCCCCUGGGAUAAUACUGACGCUCAGACACGAAAGCAUGGGGAGCAAACAAA